RNAcentral lists this ribosomal RNA (482 nucleotides) under uncultured bacterium. Its description in RNAcentral is "partial 16S ribosomal RNA". It matches the Rfam family "Bacterial small subunit ribosomal RNA", at positions 28 to 523 of the family's 1533-position model. The record is from RNAcentral.
GACGAACGCUGGAGGCGUGCUUAACACAUGCAAGUCGAACGAUGAAAUGGAGCUUGCUCCAUGGAUUAGUGGCGAACGGGUGAGUAACACGUGAAUAACCUGCCCUUAAUUUUGGAGUAACCCAGGGAAACCUGGGCUAAUACCGGAUAAGUAAACCUGUGGCAUCACAUGGUUUUGGAAAGUUUUUCGAUUAAGGAUGGAUUCGCGGCCUAUUAGCUUGUUGGUGAGGUAUUGGCUCACCAAGGCGACGGCAGGUAGCCGGCCUGAGAGGGUGAACGGCCACACUGGGACUGAGACACGGCCCAGACUCCUACGGGAGGCAGCAGUGGGGAAUAUUGCGCAAUGGACGAAAGUCUGACGCAGCGACGCCUCGUGAGGGACGAAGGUCUUCGGAUUGUAAACCUCUUUCAGCAGGGACGAAGCGAAAGUGACGGUACCUGCAGAAGAAGCACCGGCUAACUAUGUGCCAGCCGCCGCAGUAA